AAAUAGCUCAGGCGGUAGAGCGUGAGACUCUUAAUCUCAGGAUUGUGGGUUUCAACCCCACAUUGGACUA
This is a non-coding RNA of Podarcis lilfordi (Lilford's wall lizard), 70 nucleotides long. The record is from the annotation of a GenBank genome assembly. Lineage: Eukaryota; Metazoa; Chordata; Lepidosauria; Squamata; Lacertidae.